CAUACUGAUUGGAGUCAUGUCUUUUAUUUCAUUUUAUUUUUGGUAUCUCAUAUUGGUGUUCCAGAGUAGCUUGGAUUUGACUUUUCUUCCUUGCCUGCAGCUGUGAUCGAGAUGGUACAAGAGGCUGGUAGAGUGACUGUCCGAGAUGGAAUGCCUGAGCUCUUGAAGCUGCCCCUUCGUUGUCAUGAGUGCCAACAGCUGCUGCCUUCCAUUCCUCAGCUGAAAGAACAUCUCAGGAAGCACUGGACACAGUGAUUCUGCAGAGCCUGAGCUGCUGCUGCGGUGUGGCCCACUGGAGCAAACUGCUGGCAUCUAUUCUGGAGUUAAAGGAAGGCUGGAACCCUCACCUGCUGCUUCUCCUCCUGCUUGUCAUAGUCUUCAUUCCUGCCUUCUGGAGCCUGAAGACCCACCCAACGUGGAGGUGAGGCCAGGGGAUCAGGAAGGCAGGAAGGUGGUCGGCAUGGGCCACUGCCCAUCUAUUACCCACCCAGGGUUGGAGAACAUGCCUGGCAGCAUGGUAACAAUGACGACGGUGGAAUAAUAACCAACUCACAGCCACCGUGUGCUGGACACUGUGGAGGGCACUCCCUUCACCCCCAUGGCAGCCCUAUGAGCAUGAGACGCUGCAGUUGCCCUUAUUUUUCAUGAAUGACCUAGGGCAAGUCAUUUGCUGUUACCGAGCCUCAGUUUUCUCUUUUAUAAAGGAAUAAGUCUCUUGGCUUGCUCUGUGAAUGAAAAGACAGGGUGGAACAAGCCCUUAUUAGAUGUCAGUUGUCUUUGUUUUUUUUUAUUUUUUUUUUCUUUUUUUUUUGGUUCAUUUGUUUUUGUGGUUUUUAGACAGUCUCACAUUGUUACCCAGGCUGCAGUACAAUAGCACAAUGUUGACUCAUUGAAAACUCUGCUUCCCGGGUUCAAGCAAUUCUCCUGAGUAGCUGGGAUUACAGGCACCUGCCACCACACUCGGCUAAUUUUUGUAUUUUUAGUAGAGACGGGGUUUCACCAUAUUGAUAAGGCUGGUCUCGAUCUCCUGACCUGAAGUGAUCCACCCUCCUCAGCCUCCCAAGGUGCUGGGAUUGCAGGCGUGAGCCACCACGCCCAGCCAGAGGGGGGUUG
Molecule: long non-coding RNA, 1113 nt
Filed under: Piliocolobus tephrosceles (Ugandan red Colobus)
Lineage: Eukaryota; Metazoa; Chordata; Mammalia; Primates; Cercopithecidae
Description: lncRNA (ENSPTEG00000016887.1)
Source: RNAcentral